Molecule: long non-coding RNA, 601 nt
Organism: Gossypium arboreum
Lineage: Eukaryota; Viridiplantae; Streptophyta; Magnoliopsida; Malvales; Malvaceae
Exons: 2
Source: RefSeq, a predicted model, not a curated record
UGAAAUUGAAACAAAAAAUAAAUGAAUUUGAAAGAAUAAGGAAGGAAGAAGGACCAAACGCGAAAAUAAACUAUUUUAAAAAAAGUUAUGCGUAUAGAGCAGGUCAAAAGUUGUCUGUCCCUUCCCCCAAUGCUAUCUUUUCCAUUACUUCAAUUUAAAACCUGUUUCAACAAUCUUACUUUCUAAAAAAAAAACAUUUUUUAUUCUUGUUUGUGUAAAAGCUAAAAGCUUUUGAAAACUCUCUCAACCCACACCUUCCCCUUUCGCCGGUCGCCACCUCUGUCAAAGACCCACGCGUUAUGGCCGCCGGCGACGCGAGCACAACCCCGGUGUUGUGAUAUGGUGGAGGAGUGCACGAUCGUGGGUGUGCUGGCGUGGAGGAGUGGUGGAGAACGUGGGUGCAUAGUGGUGCUGAAAAUGGUUGUGGGCUAGGCCUAAGGAAAUUUGGGCUUUUUGUUUUGGGUCAUUGUAAUUUGGCCUCUUUGGGAUUUUGGGUGGAAUUAGGUAGCCCGAGCAAAAUUUGGGUUUCACAGUAAUCAAAUUAAAUCGAAUAAAAUUUUUCAAUUCAAAAUAAAUAAAUAAAUAAAUAGGUCAAUUAAAA